Molecule: ribosomal RNA, 253 nt
Filed under: uncultured bacterium
Lineage: Bacteria
Description: partial 16S ribosomal RNA
Rfam family: Bacterial small subunit ribosomal RNA
Source: RNAcentral
UACGAAGGGGGCUAGCGUUGUUCGGAAUUACUGGGCGUAAAGGGCUCGUAGGCGGAUAUUUAAGUUAGAGGUGAAAGCCCAGGGCUCAACCCUGGAAUAGCCUUUAAUACUGGAUAUCUUGAGUUCGGGAGAGGUGAGUGGAACUCCGAGUGUAGAGGUGAAAUUCGUAGAUAUUCGGAAGAACACCAGUGGCGAAGGCGACUCACUGGCCCGAUACUGACGCUGAGGCGCGAAAGCGUGGGGAGCAAACAGG